Molecule: long non-coding RNA, 6654 nt
Filed under: Sus scrofa (pig)
Lineage: Eukaryota; Metazoa; Chordata; Mammalia; Artiodactyla; Suidae
Description: lncRNA (ENSSSCG00050014687.1)
Source: RNAcentral
AAAAAAAAAAAAAUCUUUUCUUUGGUACUCUUUAGUUUUACUAUAAUUUAUGCAAGAAGGGAUUUCUUUUUAUUCUUCCUGCUUGAGGUUUUUGAAUCUGUGGAUUGAUGUAUUGCAUCAUUUCUGGAAAAUUAUUGCCCAUUAUCUCAAGUAUUAUCACUCUUUUAUCCCCUCACACUAUUCUUUAUAGAAAACUGUAUUAGGUGUAUGGUAGCCCUUCUCAUUUUGACCUUCAUAUCUUAUAACCUCUCUUUUAUAUUUUCAUUUCCUUAGCUCUUUAUAAUGUAUUUUUAUGUCACAUUUUUCUUUCAAAUUAUGAAUUUUCUAUUCAUAUUUAUCUAAUGUGAUUUAAGCUCCAAGUGAGGGUCAGCCUUCAUUUUCAAUGAAGAUUAUUUUUUUCUUCCAUACAGAGAAGAUGUUUGAGAUGGUCUGUUUUAUUUGCAACCACCUGGGAGAGAUUCUCUCUGAUUUCCCUUUUCAGUGAAAUUUAUCCUGUUAUGAUUCUUGUUUCAGGAGGGAAGAGAGUUUCCUGUUAGACUUCCCACUUUGGCUGGGCCCUGAAAUUUGUCUCCUCCAUCCUUCCCCUCAAGACCAUGGAAGUAGAAGUUUACUUGGUUUGGAAAAUUCUCUAAAAUCCAGCCUCUGUUUAGCUCUCUGGGUCUCUAGAAUGCCUUGUUUUAUUGAUAGGUCAAUUAUGUGCUCUAAAAGAUUUUCAAAAAUAUUCUUUCCUGAUCUUUUUAGUUGUUUUAUCAAAUUUUCUGGUCUCAACCAAGAUUUUUCUUUCCCUUUAUAUCACAAGUCACUAUGCCUCCUCUGUGAUUGAAUCAAUGAAUUUCAGCACUUUUGGGGAAGGACAGAUGGAGUCUGAAAACCAAAAAAUUAUUGCUUAUAACUCCAAAGCCACCCUUAUAUUUAGAUUGUAGUGAAGCAAGAGCCUAGAAAACUGAGAGGUUUUUUUGUUUUUUGUUUUUUUGUUUUUUGAGAGAGAGAGAGAGAGAGAAAGGAGUUCUUCAAAAUAUUAGAGGCUGUGAUUUGGUUUGCCUGAACCAGUGGCUAGAUUAAUUAUGUGUCUGAGACUCUGGGUUUGCAGCAUAGUGAGAGCCAACAUCGAGCCAAGGGUGGAGGGGUGGCCCAGAGAGACCAAUAGGCCCAUUAUAGGCCAAGAAAAAACUGUGAGCUGUGCUUGCUAAUUGUAGACUUUUAUUCAGAGCUUCAGGAAUGGCAGAGGCUAAAAACCAGAGAGCAGAAAGUAUCACUUACUCCCCAUCUGGAGGUGAGCAUGUGGUAGCAGGUUGCCCAGUGGUCAAUGAGGAGAAGAGGCACAUCCUUACAGGCUCUGAGAAUCAAGGACACAAUCCAUGUAGAGGCCAUGAAACUGUGUUGAGGAAAGGGAAAGGAGGGGUAUCAGUUCUGAUAAGAAGUUUGAACCUUCCAUUUGAUUGAAUAUGUAUCCAAAAGUGCAGAACUAAAAACCAUACAAAAAAAGCUUUUUCAGAUUGGCAGAAACUAGGAUACUUCUAAUUGGAACACCAAGUUUCUCACCCACCCAAUGGGCUGAGGUGGACAGAGAUGCCUCAUAAGGAAGUGUACUUUCUUAUAUAGUGAAAGAGAGAAAAUUAUAGUUCUUGUAGACUUCACAGAUAUUGUGCUUACAUUUUUUAACCUCAGUAUACAAGUAAAGUAAUUCAGUUAAUUAAUUAAUUGAAUUAAAUAAUGAAUGGUAAUUAUAUUAAGAAACCUAAGUUAACUAUAUUCCUUUUAACAUUUAUCUUUUAAAACAAUAACAUUUUUGCUAUUAGUCUAGAAUUUGACAACUAAACGAUCUUAGGAAUAAAAAUGAAUUACUUCGCAGUUCUCUGGCCAUUCAAACAGAGCAGUAGCUUUUGAGUAAAAAGGUUAAAAGUCACUGUAUUCCAAGAAAACUCUGUCCCUGAGUUGUAAGCUGAAGAGAAAGGACUGAGGCACUACAUUAGCUAAAAUGAGACAAAUUGACCAUGUAUUUCAAAAUGGCUCAGCUUAAGCAUCCUCUUAUUUUUUGAAAUGUCAGAGGAGAAGAAAAUACUUGCUAAGCAGGGAACAGAGAUAGUUCUCAUUCAAAUAAAAUGCACUCUACUUCACUUAAAAUCUAAAUUCAUCUUAAGUGAAGGAAUGAUAUUUUAUUGCAAUCAGUCCCACUUCCACAUAAUUGACUUUUUAAGCAAAAAGAUCAUUUUAUCUAUGUAUAAUUAAGCACAAUUAAUCUUCUCUUGGAAAGACUUUACAUAUAACUAUAAUGUAAUUAGGAAAUGUGACAUUCAUAUUGUAGAAUUCAGAACACUUUGAUCACUUUAAGCAUAUAUGUUACUUUUAUUCCAGAUUUAAUUUUCCAAUUUUAUUACUUAUCUAACCAUUAUUUAUUAUGUAUUUAGGCAAUGCAGACAGAGCAAGAAAGGAGAUAGACAUGGUCCCUGCCUUCAUGGAGCUUACAAUUUAAGAAGUAUAGGCUGUGUGUCAAAAAGGAAGGAACCAGAAAAGAAAGAAGGCAGAUUCAAUGAACAAAGGACAAAGAAGGAAAAGAAAGAUGAAACUCACAGAAAAAUUUUGGUGUCCCAGAAAUCAAAGACAUUUGCUGACUCAAUUUAUUCAGUCAAAUGGUUAGUAUGAGGAAAGUUAGCUAGGUUGACUGUCUGAAUGGGCCUGAAAAUUAAGUCAAAUUAUUGAAUCUAAAAACAAACCAUCUUGAGUUCCCAUCAUGGUGCAGCAGAAACGAAUCUGACUAGGAACCAUGAGGUUGCAGGUUCGAGCCCUGGCCUCUCUCAGUGGGUUGGGGAUCUGGCAUUGCCAUGAGCUGUGGUGUAGGUUGCAGAUGUGGCUUGGAUCCUACGUUGCUAUAGCUGUCUGAGCAACAUCUGCAGCCUACACCCCAGCUCAUGGCAAUGCUGAUCCUUAACCCACUGAGCAAGACCAGGGAUCAAACCAACUUCAUGGAUACUAGUCAGGUUUGUUACCACUGAGCCACAAUGGGAACCCCCGUAUUUUAAAAAAAUAUGUUAAAAUUUCCUAAAACCACAAGAUUACUGAAUUAUUUUGUUUUGUUUCUUCAUUACUAAGUUCGCUGGAAUAAUCUCUAGAAACUGGGAUUAUUUUAUCACCCCUUAUGGGGAAAGUUGUAAAUCAAGACUUUGUACUUCUUAACAACUUACUUCUUAAAGUAAGAGGCAACGGAUUUUCACAUUCAAGGAUGAAAUCAUUGCAAAAAGUGAGUCUAAAAAGACUUAAAAUUUUUGAGUGAGCCACUGGAUAGUCAUUUUAAUAUCUCUAAACUGCUAAAGUAUGAUAUAGCUAUUUGGAGGGGCCAGUGUUAAACAAGGCCUGUAAAAAGUACACAUUUUAUUAAUCUGUUGAGAUGAUGAUUAGCCAUCGGUAUGAAGGGAGGAAAGGGAGCUGUAGGAAGGUCCAAUAGAGAAAAUUGAAGACUCUUUUAGUUUAUUAAUAGUAAAUAGAUGAGGGAUGGUCAAUGUGACUAAGAAAUUUAGAUCACUAGUUAACUGAACUCUCAAAAGAAACACAGGCUGCCUCUGUUUAUGAGAGGGAGAUGAGAAAGAAAAAGCAGAAUUAUCAAUGUAAGGGAGCGCCAUGGCACAUCAAAGGUAUCCUGCCCGUGCAGCUGUGCCAUGGAAUAGUGUGAACACAUAGAAAACCAAAAAGAAAUGAAUGGGAAUAUUAAAAUUCCAAUGGAGAAUAUAGAAGGGGGGGGGGGACACAGCACUCCAGUCAGUUUAAUUCAUGUUUUUGUUGUCCUUCAUUAUCCUGACACCAUGUUUCUCUAUGAAAGACAAAGUAAAGGUGCUUUAAACAUUAGAACAAAGUUUAAAAGUAGUUUAAAAGAACUGCCAGUGAUACCUCACACAUUUGGAAAGUUUUCAAGCCCAUGAAAAUUUUUCAUCUCUUUGGAUUGAGUUUCUGUGAUGUCAUGUUUAAAAGAGAAGAUUCUUGGGCUUCCUUCAUCUAACUGGAAAGCAAAGGAAGUCAUCUGAAAUCAGCAAUGCCACAGUGGUGUUAAAGCCACUGUCUGCAGUGGCUACUACUUGUAAUGAAGUGAGUGAUAAGUGAAAGGAUCUAAAAAUAACUAGGAGCUAAGAUAGCACAUUUGAGAUAAGUUCAUCAGAGUCAUGGCAUGCUUAGGAUAUUGAAAAAAGUCUUAGUUCCACCUCUUAACUCUAUGAACUCAGACUAAGUUCUCACUGACUAAGCUCAAGGGAGAAUCUUGUUUUUCUUGCCUUCCCCUUUUAUGGUUCAGAAAUAGGGGAUAUAUUAGCUAUUUAUACUGACUUCAAUAUAACUAAAUUUUUUAACGAGAACUCUUCUCCUCUGUCUCCUCCACCUAUCCAACUUGCUUCAUGAUAAUUUAUGUCUAAAACUAGUGCAAAUGUUGAUUUGCUCUGAGAUGCUUGAUUUUGUUGUUAUGGAAGAGUUACAGAUCAAUCUUGAACUUACUUCUUGAAGAACUUAUAUAACUCUACUCUUCCACUACUUCUCUCUUCACCACUCCUCAUAUUAAGUAACACAUUUAUACAAUAGGGAAGUUUCAAAUGAAAAUAUACAAUGUUUGUCACAACCUUUAAUAUUUCUUCUCAGUAACAAUAGUAAGGGAAAGUGAUGCUUCUCCAUUCAUAAUAAUAGGCAUAUCUAAAUAAACACUGCCCUUUGCAAUUUAAAUUCCCUACAGGUAAAAAGUUCUCAAUGAAGAUCAAGAAUAUAGUAAAACUCCAUUAAUUCAAAUGUUUUAUUUAAAAUUGUGAUGUUAGCCCUAUUGCAUACCACUACUAUGAACACACUGAGUAAGCAAACAGUUAUGCUAAAAAUAUAAAGGAAAAAAACAUUAGACUGAAAAAUACUCAGAUUUUGAACAUAUAUUUAUACUGCUUUUCUCCCAAUUAAAUACAGUUAAUGUUAUUUACGCACUUAUCUCACAAAUUAGAGCAUUGUAAUUAGAUGUCAUUUCAGAAGAAGAGUUAAUCAUCACAACUUUCAGAUAUUGUUUUAUUUUAUUUAAAACACAUUUUCUUAAACUAUAUAAUUGUUCAGUGUGAUCUAACAGGUUUUCAAGGGAGUAUAAGUUAGUAAACUAUCAUUUAUCGUACUAGCUUUUAAAAAAUGUUCUCCCCUUCCGUAAAUUAAAGGCCAUGUGUCUUGGUCUGUACUGGUCUAACAUGCCAGCAUUAUCUCCCCACCCCCAGUGUAUCUUUAUCUUAGUCAUGUCAGAUGGACACUGACAGGGCACUAGGACCACGUCUGUAGUGAUUGCCUGAAGUUUUUAGCUGUUCAGCAUGACUUUCCCCCUUUUAUUGGGUAUUGGUACCCAUAUUCCCCCUUAGGAAACUUCCUUCACUUCUAGUUGAGGUGGAUUACGGUGUCUUUGCUUGGAGUCCUCAGAAAGUGGAGCCUGAGGCAAAUGGCUUAUGAGCUACUACUUUAUUAGGAAGCACAGUCCAGGGAACAAGAGUAAGAGACAAACAGAGAAGGAAGAAAAGCCAAUAUGAGAAUGUGCUAUUAAGGAGCCAUUUAAGCAGUGUGCUUAGAAGAAUCUUUCCUGGAGAAGAAAGGGGGAAGAAUUUAUCCAUCAGCUUCUGUCUCUCUUUGGUCAAAGAUUUGCCCAAGGUUAUACAACUGGAGUAGUAAAGUCAAAGAUUCAAAUGCAGGAUGUCUGGCUCCAGAGCCCUGGCUCUGAACCAUUCAUGAGGUGUUCUCAUGAGUGUUAGUCAUUGAUAAGAACUAAGGAAAAAAUAGAAGCCAGGAUAGAAAGCAGGGCAGUUUGGAAAUUUUUAAUUGACCUGGGAUGGUUUCACAGAGGUGAUAUUUGAGUAGAGACCUGAAUAUCAAUCACAUCUCUUAGGGAAAGAGCAUGCCAGGAAAUACAAUGAGAUGUUUUGAUGGACAAUGAGGCAAGUGUGGCAGCUGCAAUAUGAGUGAGGUGGAGAGCAGCCAGAGAGAAAAGAGAAGCUGUAGAUCAUGUAGGGUCUUGGACCACUGGAAGACCUUUGGCUCUUACUCUGAGAUGGGAAACCAUUGACAGUUUAGGAGCAGAGAAGUGAUAUGCUCUGACUACAGUAUUAAUAGAAUCAUUAGUAUUAGAGCAAUAAGAGCCAAAGGGGAAGCAGGAAUAAACUGUGAGAAGGCUUUUGCAAUCCUUAAGCGAGAGAAACUUGUGUCUUGGACCAGGGUGGUGGGAGUGGAGGUACUGAAGAAUAGUUGCAUCCUGGAUAUAUUUUAAAAGUGGAAGCAGGUACUGCAGAUGGAUUAGGUUAUAAAUAAGCUACUAAGUAAAUAGUUAGAAAAGGCCCCCUAUUGGGACAUUUUAAAAUAUAUUUUGACUAACUCACAGGACAAUAAAAAAAUCAUAAUGAAAAAUUUAAAGGAAAUAUUUAGAACUGAAGAAGAAUAUGUGGGAUGCAGAUAAAAUGUACUUGAAGGAAAUUUAUAACCCUAAAUACUUAUAUUAAAAGAGAAGAGAGGCUACAAAUUAAUAAGUAUCCAGCCAGAGAACUUAGGAAUAUAAUAGCAGAAUGGAUUCAAAGAAUUAGAAGGAUGGAAGAAUUAAAUUAGAGGUAUAUCAAUAUAAGAUGUAUAAAACAGAACAACGGAAUAAAAAAUUCUUUUAAAAUAUUAAUCAGA